UUUGAUGGCGACCGGCGCACGGGUGCGUAACGCGUAUCGAACCUGCCUCAUACUCGGGGAUAGCCUUGCGAAAGUAAGAUUAAUACCCGACGGUCUCGGAUGUCCGCAUGUCUAUACGAGUGAAGAUUUAUCGGUAUGAGAUGGCGAUGCGUUCCAUUAGAUAGUUGGUGAGGUAAUGGCUCACCAAGUCAUCGAUGGGUAGGGGUUCUGAGAGGAAGGUCCCCCACAUUGGAACUGAGACACGGUCCAAACUCCUACGGGAGGCAGCAGUGAGGAAUAUUGGUCAAUGGACGAGAGUCUGAACCAGCCAAGUAGCGUGCAGGAUGACGGCCCUAUGGGUUGUAAACUUCUUUUAGUUGGGAAUAAAAUGAGGUACGUGUCCCUUAUUGUAUGUACCAUCAGAAAAAGGAUCGGCUAAUUCCGUGCCAGCAGCCGCGGUAAUACGGAAGGUCCAGGCGUUAUCCGGAUUUAUUGGGUUUAAAGGGAGCGCAGGCGGCGGUGUAAGUCAGUUGUGAAAUCGUGCGGCUUAACCGUGCAAUUGCAGUUGAUACUGCGUCUCUUGAGUGCACACAGGGCUGUUGGAAUUCAUGGUGUAGCGGUGAAAUGCUUAGAUAUCAUGAAGAACUCCGAUCGCGAAGGCAUAUGUCUGGAGUGCAACUGACGCUGAGGCUCGAAAGUGUGGGUAUCAAACCAGG
This 695-nucleotide ribosomal RNA is filed under the name uncultured bacterium. RNAcentral's name for it is "bacterial SSU rRNA". It matches the Rfam family "Bacterial small subunit ribosomal RNA", at positions 84 to 777 of the family's 1533-position model. The record is from RNAcentral.